This is a long non-coding RNA of Salvia miltiorrhiza (redroot sage), 1132 nucleotides long. RefSeq lists it as uncharacterized. The record is from RefSeq and is a predicted model, not a curated record. The transcript has 2 exons. NCBI's taxonomy places the organism in Eukaryota, Viridiplantae, Streptophyta, Magnoliopsida, Lamiales, Lamiaceae.
AAGAUUAGCCAAAUCCUCACAAAUCUUGCAAGAUAAUUCUCUCUCUCCCUCCACCCAUUUUCGAGCUCUCUCUCUUUCCCCUUCAUCUCUCAUCUUCCUCCAUUAACAUCCAUGGUAGAACCUUCGAAGCUUCACCAAAAUAUGCCAAACACAUAAAUCACCAACAAAAUCCCACAUAAACACAUCCUAGCUACUUGAAUUCAAGAGAAUCAUUGGAGAUUGCUUCCAAGGCUAGAGAGAGAAAGUGUGAUUGUUGGUGUAAAGUUUGGACACGAGCAGACCAAGGAAGUAAGUAACUCCGCUUUGACGGGAGAUUUUGAGUAAGGUCUUCAGGUGGGCAAUAUUUUGAGUAUACGUAUUUCGUACGAGCUUUCUAAAAUGAUUUGAUGAUGUUAUGAGAUUAACAAAUGUUUUGAGAUAAAUGAUAUUUGAGAAUUGUUUGACUUGCCAAUUUUUGAUGUUGAGCUUGUGUGUUACCCUCUACUGAUGAGACGAAUUCGGUCCUGCCUCAAGCGGGAUUUUGUGCACAGAGGUGACUGUGAGCCGUCUUCGGGUCGGCCGGUCACGGUACUUGAGAGGGAGGCCUACUUCUCAGUACCUUUGAUGAUGAGUAGUGGAUGUGGUACAUACAUGAUGAAUGUUUAAACUGCGCAGUUACUUAUUUAUGAUGUUGAUUAUGAAAACUGCAUGCACAGAUUCCUUGAUGCUAACUUAUUUCUGUGUAUUGCUGAGAUGUGGCAAGCUUCAAACUUAUAGCUCUAAGAGCACCUUUCAUGUUUUUCGGCGUUUACCCACUGAGUAUUAUGUACUCACGCCCUGCAUGUAUUUCUAAAUGUGCAGGCUAAGCGGGGAGCGAGAUUGGUCUGGUGCUGGUGGGGAACCGUUUCAAUCGAUGUGAUCAUAUUUAAUAUUGCCCUUAUGAUUGAUAGAGUCUUGAUGAUUAAAAUACUUCGUUUCCUUUCGAAUCAAGUAAUAUACUCACGGUUAUGUGUCUUCAUACAUAUAAUCGGUUCGCCUUUUGCUGCGAUACUCUGCAUAUUAUGUUUCCUUAUGAAAAAUAAGCUAUACCUGUUUUGUUUUUGUUUGUGAAAUUCCUGAUAAUUAAAAAGUUAUAACAACGUUGACGAUUUUA